GUCAGUAAUUUCUCCCCUAGCAAGAAUGAGGGAGAUGAAGAGCUUGGGUAUCUGGGGGCUGGUGUGUCUCAUGCGUGUGUGUUUUGGGGGCCGACUGAAGGAAGAGAAGGCUGGAGAGAGGGAACAUGGGUCUGAGGGCACAUCGCUAAGGGGUCAAGAGGCCUAAAGGGGGAGUCUAAGGCUCUCCAUCGAACUUGGACUUGGUCUACAUUAGACUUUAACCCCCAUGAGGCUUGGACUUUCAGGCUUCCGCCCUCACACCGCGGGCAGGUGAGGCGUCUGCUACAGGCCUGGUCUCGCAGCCCCCCGCCGCCACCUUCUCCUGGAGUCUGUGUGACAGAAUGGGACCUGUGGGAAAGCAGCACGUCAGCGCCCAGCCCCGCUUGCGCGCCAGCAGCUAAUUAAAGCCAGGAAGGUGAUGGCGAUUGUCAACUCAUUCCCGUUACAAACAGCCGACCUUCCUACCGAGUUCAAGUACCUUCUGCCUGGCCUGGAAGAACCAUAUCUCUCUGUCUCCCUCUUCCAUUGGCCCUCACCUGCCCUCCCCUGAACACGCAUUUUGCCUGACAGGAGGCAGAGGCGGUUGAGAUGGAGUCUUGCUAUACGGCCCAGCUGGUAACGCCUGGUAAUGCCUAGAUUCUUGAGUCCCUCCCUGGCUCAUCCCUGGGAGCAGCACCGAACCCCAUGUCUGACACCUGUCUGGAAAUGGAGCCUGAACAUUGACCCUAGAUUCCUUGGUGGUGCCUGGAGAAGACCAGGAGAGGAAGCAGAAGACCCUCCUCAAAGAAGCCGCCUUCACCUCCAGACCUCCCAGCGGGACUUAGACAAUGGGGUUAGGCAGUCACAUGUCUGCAAGUGGAAACUUUCUGGGACUGUGCUUGGAUCCCGGCUCUGCCUUUUACUAGCCAUGUGACCUUGGGAAAAUCACUUGACCUCUCCAUCUCUAGGAGAAUGGAAAGAGCAAACAGAAGAGCAGCAACCCUGAGUUACAUUUCUCAAGACGCCGGGGCUCCUGGUGGCACAGCAGCAGCUUGCUAGAGCUUGGUAAAGAGACUUGGGCCUGGUACCUGAAGGGCAGUUCCUUGGCCAUGACACUGUAGGGAAAGACCUCUAUGGGUGUUGAAAAGACAAGGCGAGGACAAGAAGAGUUGAAAAGGAGCUGCUCUGAAGCCACCUGGCUGUGGAUGGAGGCAGCCACAUGGAGCUUAGGUGGCCUGCUAUUGUAAUUUUUUCUGCAACUGGAGAAUUUGAAAUGGGUUUGGGGGGUAGCAAAGGGCAGAAUCUGGCUUCAAGGUGACAGAGUUUGCAUAGAAAUGGCCUUCUUGAGCAAAGGUA
This is a long non-coding RNA of Symphalangus syndactylus (siamang), 1335 nucleotides long. RefSeq lists it as uncharacterized. NCBI's taxonomy places the organism in Eukaryota, Metazoa, Chordata, Mammalia, Primates, Hylobatidae. The record is from RefSeq and is a predicted model, not a curated record.